AGUUUGGUUCUGGAGGUAUAACUACCAAGGAUCAAGUUCUGCAAAGGAUUUCCUUCUCCCUUGGGCAGGAAGCUGUCAGAGAUGCCAGGCAAGGAAGUACUGACCCAUCAGAAAAAGACAGUUCUGACUAGCAGCUUGCAUGGAUACAGAAAGAAAAUCUAAAUGACCCCAAUGAAGGUUUCUUUAGAGACCUUCAAAGAUCAAGCUGUUAUAUUUAAAGCCUUUCAUGAACAUAGGUAUCUUCAGAACAUUUUCAUUCAAUUGUCUCUAUUUAUCUACCUGAUAUGAUCACAUAGAAG
This is a long non-coding RNA of Ahaetulla prasina, 299 nucleotides long. RefSeq lists it as uncharacterized. The record is from RefSeq and is a predicted model, not a curated record. The transcript has 3 exons. NCBI's taxonomy places the organism in Eukaryota, Metazoa, Chordata, Lepidosauria, Squamata, Colubridae.